UCGGGCACAUCGCCGAAUUCUGCCGGUGCCCGAGGUUCAUUACACAGAAACUGCUUGGCAGAAGCGGGGGAACCACAUGCGGUCCCGAUGAUUCGGGUCCUAGGGGUUAAGUCGCCAGAGCAUCCCGCCCUGCGACCGGGUGUCUCCCACCCGCAUCCGACAGCUCACCUCGUAGGCAAAGGGAGGAGUACAU
Molecule: small RNA, 193 nt
Filed under: Kocuria rosea subsp. polaris
Lineage: Bacteria; Bacillati; Actinomycetota; Actinomycetes; Micrococcales; Micrococcaceae
Description: Kocuria polaris c-di-AMP sequence
Rfam family: c-di-AMP riboswitch aptamer (ydaO/yuaA leader)
About the family: This family represents a conserved RNA structure found upstream of the ydaO and yuaA genes in Bacillus subtilis and related genes in other bacteria.
Source: RNAcentral